UCAAAAUCUUAUCAUCAAUCCUCUGCCAUUUCAAUUAGACAAAAGCCAAGUUUUAAAAGCUAAGUUUCCUUCUAUUAGUUCAUCCGCUCUUUCCUUCUCUUUUCAACACACCCAACAAAGUUUAAAGUGCAGAGGUAAGUGUUCCAACCAAUUCUCUUCUUCUUCCUUGGGGAUACAACCCUCCAUUUUAACUAUGUUUAUGUUUCCAAAUUCCAGUAAUCAAGCAGAUUCAGAUCCAAAUUCAUUGUUAAAUUGUUGAUUCGCAGAUCAAACUUUGUGAGUUCAGAAAAUUAUCAAGGUUACCUCCUACUUUACUUUCUCCAUACAUUCAUUUGUUAAAUUACAAAACUAUGAUUCAAAUGAAAACAGAUCGAACACACGCAUCCAUUACCACUUCUUUUAGACUAUUAUUGUUUCAAUUACAUCAGCUUAUCACCAUCAGAGAACCACCAACAGAAUAAUACACACGCACACAUUUUACUAUAUUCUCUAAUCUAUUACAUGUACAAUCAGUCUUAAUAAAAAGGAAAUGAAUGAUUGAAAGAACAGAUUAAUAAAACCCUAAUUUUGCUUUUGUGCAUCUGGACUGAAAAAUUUGGGGGUUCUUGUGUCUUUGCCUUCUGUGUAUGUCCGAAAAUGGGGAAAGAGGUGAGAGCAGCCGGGGGCUGCUCACGGUCGGCGACGGCGGCGGCGGCACAGCCGCUAGCCCUUGUCCUGCCAAAACGAGAGAGAAGAGGGUAGAGAGAGAGAUGGUUAGGGCUUCUGUAAAAAUAAAAAAAAAAGAGAGAGAGAUACGGGAAAAAGGGGGAGAGACUUAUCUUUUCCGGCGACGCGGCGGAAGCAGCGGCGCAGCGACACGAACGGCGGUUCUGUUCGGCCGGAAAAGAGGAGAAAAGGGAGGAGUUCAGAUCUGUUUUUUUAAAAUAGAAAGGAGAGGAAAGGGAGCUCAGAUCUGGAGCCUACCUUCACGGCGAGGCAAGGCUCGGCCAUCCACCACGAUUCCGGCCAUGGCGGAGACGGCGGAGAACGGGGGAAGCGGCGCGGCGACGCUCGGCUUUUCACAACGGCCGGAGAAGGCACAUGCAGCGGCGGAGAGGCCUCUGCCACCCUGUUCCAAGGCUGGGGACGACCAGGCGGCGCCGUGCUUGGCCACGGCGGAGGCGGCAGUGGCACGCGAAGGCGGCGGCGUGCGGCUGACUUCCGGCGAGACAGAGCGAUGAGAGUGAGAGGGAGAGGGGAGACGUCCGGCGAGGCGGCGCGCCGGAGGCGGUGCCGCCCUCAGCCGAGUGAGAGUAAGAGAGGCGAGAGAGAGAGCCGAGAGGGAGAGUGAGAGUGUUGUGUGUGCUGAGUGUGUGUAUUUGUGUGAUGUGCGUGUGUUAUGUGUUUGUGUGUGUGAUAUAUGUGUGUUAUGUUAGGGUUAGGAUUUAAUUGGGCUUUUUUUAUUAAUUUUGUUUGGGCCGAUUUAUUUAUUUAGCUUGGGCCGAAAGUUUUAAAUAAAAUGGGCCCAUUUUAAUUAAGUUUUGAACUGUUAAUUGAUUAAUAAAGCCUACGAAUUUUUGGCCUUAUUUUUUUUUUAAAAAAAAAAUGUUUGAAUUUACACUAAAUUAUUUAGUGAAUUUAAAUCUCUUGAUUUAAAUUUUAAUAUUUAAAGUUGGGAUUAUUUAUUCUAAAUGAAGUCCAUUCUAUUAUUUAAAUUAUUAAUGGACUUUAAAGCAAAUAUUUUGGGAUUAAGCCCUAUUUAUUACAUGAUAAAAUUAUUUUCAAAGCUUACGAGUAUGGAUUUUUUUUAAAUGGUUAAAAUGUUUUAUUUCAUCUCAAUGUAUUUUAAAAUGUUUUAUUAUUUAUAAAUGAAUAAUGGAAUUUCUUAUUUAUUUACAUGAUAAAAAAAAAUGUGAAAUUGUGUUAUAGAAUGAUUAAGUAUAUGAUUUACUUUAUCAAAUGAGCUUGAGAUUUAAUUGAGAUAUUAAAUUACUAAGCAUAUGUUUAUAAAUGAUUUAUUUAUUUAAGUGAUGAAAAUGUGCGAAGUAUGAGAAAGCAUGAUUUAUAAUGAUUAAAUUUUCAGGGUAAUAAAAUAUAGCUUGUUCUUAAUUGAUGGAGUACUUGACUAAAUGACGGGUGUAGAAGGAAGUUAUGGAUUAUGUACAUGUUGAUGUUCGAACAAUUGGGUUCGAACCUAUAUGAUAGUUACAUGAUAAGUGAUUACAUUUAUUGAUUGAAUGAAACGAGAUAAUAUGAUGCUAGACCCAAACUUUAAAAGAUACCCUAGGCACGUAGAAUAGACUUUGUCUUAUGACAAUUUCUUCACGAACUUAUCGACUCUUCAUCAAUGAAGGUCCGGGCGACAGAAAGUGAAGCAGAAGAAGAAACGACUCCACGCCAGCUUUAAGAACAAUUGAGGUGGGCAUUAUUUUAUUAUUACGUAUAUAGAGAUCCCCUGCGUGACGUAGGCCUCAUAUGCGAAUAUAUAUGCAUGAUAUGUUUUGACUAUUUAUUCAGUUCUUAUAAAAUGCUUAUAUGUUCAAUGCCCUUUAUGAAAAUGAAAAUGUUAUGAAAAUGAAAUGUUUAUGAAAUGAUUGACUGCCAAAAUGUUUAUGUUUUUUUAUAUGUAUCCUAUCUGUGUUGGUUCGCCAACUUUAAAGGAAAUCCAAUUGGGAUCCUAUGCUAGACAAAGGUCGCUAGCUAGGGUUAACGUGUACACUCAUGGAGACCGCGAGUCGCUUGCGACCGGUCUUGGCGUCCGUGGUAAGGAGGCCUCCUUCCCGGCGCGUGACAGAAAGGACAGAUAUGGAUCAUAUAGACUGAAAAUGGGAUGCAUCCACCUUUAUGAAAAUGAAAGAAAUAUUUUAGUAAGCGCAGGACAUUCAAGAAAACCCCUGUGUGUUACUGUUAUGGCAGUUCAAUUUAUAUAUGUAUGCAUGUUGUAUUUUCGGCUUAUGCCACUGAGUAUUUUUAUACUCAGCCCUGCAUGUAUUUCUAAAUGUGCAGGUUGAGCAGGCGAUGGAAUGGAUUGGUGUUGAGCGGA
Molecule: long non-coding RNA, 3022 nt
Filed under: Salvia miltiorrhiza (redroot sage)
Lineage: Eukaryota; Viridiplantae; Streptophyta; Magnoliopsida; Lamiales; Lamiaceae
Description: long non-coding RNA (SMIL_LNC002266)
Source: RNAcentral